AUUGAACGCUGGCGGCAGGCCUAACACAUGCAAGUCGAACGGCAGCACAGAAGAGCUUGCUCUUUGGGUGGCGAGUGGCGGACGGGUGAGGAAUGUCUGGGAAACUGCCCGAUGGAGGGGGAUAACUACUGGAAACGGUAGCUAAUACCGCAUAACGUCGCAGGACCAAAGUGGGGGACCUUCGGGCCUCACACCAUCGGAUGUGCCCAGAUGGGAUUAGCUAGUAGGUGGGGUAAUGGCUCACCUAGGCGACGAUCCCUAGCUGGUCUGAGAGGAUGACCAGCCACACUGGAACUGAGACACGGUCCAGACUCCUACGGGGGGCAGCAGUGGGGAAUAUUGCACAAUGGGCGCAAGCCUGAUGCAGCCAUGCCGCGUGUAUGAAGAAGGCCUUCGGGUUGUAAAGUACUUUCAGCGGGGAGGAAGGCGGUGAGGUUAAUAACCUUGCCGAUUGACGUUACCCGCAGAAGAAGCACCGGCUAACUCCGUGCCAGCAGCCGCCGUAA
Molecule: ribosomal RNA, 506 nt
Filed under: uncultured bacterium
Lineage: Bacteria
Description: partial 16S ribosomal RNA
Rfam family: Bacterial small subunit ribosomal RNA
Source: RNAcentral